Molecule: ribosomal RNA, 301 nt
Filed under: uncultured bacterium
Lineage: Bacteria
Description: partial 16S ribosomal RNA
Rfam family: Bacterial small subunit ribosomal RNA
Source: RNAcentral
CAGUCGCCGCGGUAAAACGGAGGGGGCUAGCGUUGUUCGGAAUUACUGGGCGUAAAGCGCACGUAGGCGGCUUUGUAAGUCAGAGGUGAAAGCCCGGGGCUCAACCCCGGAAUUGCCUUUGAGACUGCAUCGCUUGAAUCCAGGAGAGGUGAGUGGAAUUCCGAGUGUAGAGGUGAAAUUCGUAGAUAUUCGGAAGAACACCAGUGGCGAAGGCGGCUCACUGGACUGGUAUUGACGCUGAGGUGCGAAAGCGUGGGGAGCAAACAGGAUUAGAUACCCCGGUAGUCCCUGUCUCUUAUAC